RNAcentral lists this transfer RNA (65 nucleotides) under Tomicus yunnanensis. RNAcentral describes it as "tRNA-Ile". The record is from RNAcentral. Lineage: Eukaryota; Metazoa; Arthropoda; Insecta; Coleoptera; Curculionidae.
UAUAGAGUGCCCGAAAAAGGGACCUUCUUGAUGAGAAGGAUCAUAUAGAACUUCUAUCUCUAUAA